CGGGAAAAGCUCAAAUUUAAAAUCUGGUGGCCCUUCCGCCAUCCGAGUUGUAAUUUGAAGAAGUGUAUAUCACGUUUUCGUUCGGGUUCAAGUUCCUUGGAAUAGGACAUCAGAGAGGGUGAGAAUCCCGU
Molecule: ribosomal RNA, 131 nt
Filed under: Archaeosporales sp.
Lineage: Eukaryota; Fungi; Glomeromycota; Glomeromycetes; Archaeosporales
Description: partial large subunit ribosomal RNA
Rfam family: Eukaryotic large subunit ribosomal RNA
Source: RNAcentral